AAACUCUUAGCGGUGGAUCACUUGGCUCGUGGAUCGAUGAAGAACGCAGCUAGCUGCGAGAAUUAAUGUG
RNAcentral lists this ribosomal RNA (70 nucleotides) under Thelazia gulosa. RNAcentral's name for it is "partial 5.8S ribosomal RNA". It matches the Rfam family "5.8S ribosomal RNA", at positions 1 to 69 of the family's 154-position model. Rfam says of the family: 5.8S ribosomal RNA (5.8S rRNA) is a component of the large subunit of the eukaryotic ribosome. It is transcribed by RNA polymerase I as part of the 45S precursor that also contains 18S and 28S rRNA. The record is from RNAcentral. RNAcentral also lists the same sequence under 2 other names. Lineage: Eukaryota; Metazoa; Nematoda; Chromadorea; Rhabditida; Thelaziidae.